This 478-nucleotide ribosomal RNA is filed under the name uncultured bacterium. RNAcentral's name for it is "partial 16S ribosomal RNA". It matches the Rfam family "Bacterial small subunit ribosomal RNA", at positions 28 to 523 of the family's 1533-position model. The record is from RNAcentral.
GAUGAACGCUGACAGAAUGCUUAACACAUGCAAGUCUACUUGAUUCUACUUCGGUAGUUGAUGGUGGCGGACGGGUGAGUAACGCGUAAAGAAUCUGCCCUUUAGUUUGGGAUAACCUUUGGAAACGAAGGCUAAUACCGGAUAUUAUGGAGACGUCGCAUGACGACUCCAUGAAAGCUAUAUGCGCUAGAGGAGGACUUUGCGUCCCAUUAGUUAGUUGGUGAGGUAAUGGCUCACCAAGACCGCGAUGGGUAGCCGGCCUGAGAGGGUGAUCAGCCGCAAGGGAACUGAGACACGGUCCUUACUCCUACGGGAGGCAGCAGUGGGGAAUAUUGGACAAUGGGCCACAAGCCUGAUCCAGCAAUUCUGUGUGCGCGAUGAAGGUCUUCGGAUUGUAAAGUGCUUUCAGUAGGGAAGAAAAAAAUGACGGUACCUACAGAAGAAGCGACGGCUAAAUAUGUGCCAGCCGCCGCCGUAA